Molecule: transfer RNA, 90 nt
Filed under: Agitococcus sp.
Lineage: Bacteria; Pseudomonadati; Pseudomonadota; Gammaproteobacteria; Moraxellales; Moraxellaceae
Description: tRNA-Ser
Rfam family: tRNA
About the family: Transfer RNA (tRNA) molecules are approximately 80 nucleotides in length. Their secondary structure includes four short double-helical elements and three loops (D, anti-codon, and T loops).
Source: RNAcentral
GGAGAUGUGCCAGAGAGGCUUAAUGGCACUGUUUCGAAAACAGAUGGCUCCUUACCGGGCACCGGGGUUCGAAUCCCUGCAUCUCCGCCA